This 253-nucleotide ribosomal RNA is filed under the name uncultured bacterium. Its description in RNAcentral is "partial 16S ribosomal RNA". It matches the Rfam family "Bacterial small subunit ribosomal RNA", at positions 524 to 776 of the family's 1533-position model. The record is from RNAcentral.
UACGGGGGGGGCAAGCGUUGUUCGGAAUUACUGGGCGUAAAGGGCUCGUAGGUGGCCAACUAAGUCAGACGUGAAAUCCCUCAGCUUAACUGGGGAACUGCGUCUGAUACUGGAUGGCUUGAGUUUGGGAGAGGGAUGCGGAAUUCCAGGUGUAGCGGUGAAAUGCGUAGAUAUCUGGAGGAACACCGGUGGCGAAGGCGGCAUCCUGGACCGGCAUUGACGCUGAGGAGCGAAAGCCAGGGGAGCAAACGGG